UGAAUAUGCAUAUAAUAAAUAGUUGGUUCUUUACAGAAUUUUUCAUCAAAACUUUAUUAAGAAAACUUUAACAUUACAACAAACACAUUUAUAGGAAAUACGAUAACAAAACCGCAAUUGGUAUAAGUGUUUGGAAAUAAAAACAGAACCUAACUGCAGUUCAGCAAAAUCUACCAACCCAGCCGUUAAGAGAGUAAAACAAUUUAGUGGCACGAUUAACUUAUGAUUCAUAGUUAUUAACUACAAUCAUGUGAUCAUGUAGAAUGAGCAUAAAGUGAUGCUAUCUCUUUUUUAAGUGCUAGCAGUCCAACACUAGAUUCCUUUCGACCGUUUGAACAUGGAAAGUUUUCGACGGUGGUUUCCACUCGAAAUCUUGUGUUCAAACUCUCAUGAUCAUAGAGUUUGAUAGUGCCAAUAGUUUUGGUCUCUGGGAUUAUAUAUCAGAGCAUUCCAUCGCCCGCCCAUCUUCCUUUGAACUUUUGAGUGGUGAGAUUGAAUCCUGGUAUUGUGCUUCUGCAAUAUCCUUUUCACCGCUUCAUUCCACACCAUCCCUGACCCAUCAUCUUUCAUGACGGUUCUGCACGAAAAUCAUAUAAUAUGGGACGUUCAUACGUCAGAAAAAUAUAGAAAACUCGAGAGACAGAUGGAGAGACACACUAAACAUACAUUUAUAAAAACGAGGGAUUACCCAUACAUUCUAAACAUAGAGAGAAACCAACACAAAAUGGUACCAACUUCUAAUUAAAAAACAGCCAAUACGCCAGCUAUUAUGACAUCAUAGAAAAGUAGGCGACGAUGAGUUUCCACACACCAUUACCAUUUGUGUCAUGAGUUAACAGUUUACAAUGCUAAGCCCCAGAGAUUGAAGGUAAAUUGGGAUGUCGCACCCCAUCCUGAGAACCAAAUUUUCAUCAUGGUGUUCAAGGUUGAAAGGUGGCAAAGUGCCAAACCUGAAUGUUGAGUUCAGAAUUGAUGGUCACAAAAAGGACAGCGAGAUGACAACACUAAUACUGAUGUGGUAUUUUUUUCAAAUUCAUCACCAAGGCCACCAAAAUGACCGUUUUUGGAGCACAUGAAACAAGCCUUCGAUAAGUAACAAGAAAUGUCCACUUCUUUAUGCUUUACGUUAGUAUUUGCCAGGUAUGGAACUAAUUUAAUUUUUAAUACACCUUAACGACAAUCGUUUAUGCAUUUCAUUCUCGUCCUAGUUUAUCAAAUGUUGUGGUCAUUAAACCCAAAAGCCUCUUGAGGAACUUGCAUAACAACAAUAGGAAAUACUCUGCAACUCAUCCGAAGAGCUUAAACACAUCUCCCUUCAACACCCCCCCCCCCUCGGCGCGCGGAGGCGGGCACCCCAAUUCAAAACAAAUGUUCCUGAUGUGAAUUCUAGUCAACUAAUCAAGUUAAACAAUGUAAAAUUUAUUAAACUUUAACGAAAAUGGGUGAUAUGAACAGAAGGAACAAGAUUAAUUAAAAAUAGAAACCACACUAAAGAAGUGGCAGCCAACUUUAAAUUGUAGUUGUUGCCAAAACUCACUUCUGUAUUCCACCCACAAGGGAAGUACGCAAGGAAAUUAAUUAAUUCAGGUGUAAUGAACCACACUAAAGACCUUCUUAGGCGUAGCAUAAAAGAGAAAAGGCAAUAAAAAUAAAGAAAUGAACAUACAAAGAUUCUAGGAAGCAACAAAGACCAUCAAGUAUUGAGAAUUAUAUGCAAGAUAUAUGUGAAACAGUGGAGAGAAGAAUCAACCCUACAUUAGAAAUAAUUAGGUUUUAGAAAGCGAUGGAGAGAAGAAUCAACCCUACAUUAGAAAUAAUUAGGUUUUAGAAAGCGAUGUACGCAUAUAACCAAAAACGGUGUGCAAAGAUACAAACAUAACAAAAACCGUAAGAUCAAAUAUACUCAAAUGCCAUGUUAAAAUUUAAAAAUAUAGAAGGUCGAUGAGUAGAAAUAGGAACGAAACUAAUAUUAGGAGUUACAUGCAAGCCUGAAUUAAACACAAUCCACAUUGUAAUGUAAAUAAAUAAAAUAUACUUUAACUGGUGCAUAAAUUGCUAUGACAAAUCAUACAAUUCAUGGAACUAAUUACACAAGGUAAAGACUACAGAAUAUCCAAGCUUGGGAAACUUAAAAGCAUAUACCAAAGGGAUACAAACCAUUUAUUUCGGAUCUCAGAAAUUUAAGCCAUUUAAUUAUGCCCACCAAGACCAAAUAGUUAGAGGCCCAAUUUUGGAAAAUUGUUCAUUUCAUGACAUUUGGGUGGUUCUCAAACCUAGAAGCCUUGAGCAAGGGUGAAGUGCAAUAUUCUAAAAACUUCAAAACACACAUCUUGAGCGAUAUGAUGCUUACUAAUAUGUAAUCGAUUUAUAAACCAUCUCCAUGACUCAAGUUCAUUACAAACUUCUCAUUGCAAUGAAAUGAAGAAGAAACCAAAAGUUCAUCAUCACCAAUUGGCACUAGUACAAAAACAUGUUUGCGCGACGAAAACUUGCGCGACGCAUUAAAUUACGUCGCGCAAAGACGUUUUGCGCGACGUACGUACCCCUACGUCGCGCAAAACAGCUUUGCACGACGUUACUUUGCGCGACGAAGAACUACGUCGCCCAAAACGGCUUUGCGCGACGUACGUACACCUACGUCGUGCAAAACGGCUUUGCGCGACGUAGUCCGUCGUCGCGCAAACUUUUGGCGCCAAACCCUUAGAAUUUACCGCUUUUUCCCACCUUUGCGCGACGCAUGCCCACCUACGUCGCGCAAAGUGUUUUGCGCAACGUAGGUGGACAUGCGUCGCGCAAAGUCACAAACUUUUUUUUCUUUUCAUUUGAUCAGUUUGGGAGGCAGAAACUGCAUACCCAGUUGCAGCAGCUACCUCCAUCGCCCAUCUCUCUCUUCAAAAUCGUCUACCAGAUCAGGUUUGAAGUUUGAAUUACUAGGAAUAGCCAUAAUGCCUAAAUCUGUAAUCGUUAGAAACAAUGUUAUUAUUUUGUAUGUCUUGCUCUCCCCAAUUCCCACAUUAGUUAACACAACUAGUUUUUAUUUUGGAUCUAUGAAUAACAACAAAGGAAUUUCGUAAUUCUAAUCAUCAACAAGAUCUCCCCAGUCCAAAUAAUUGCUAGAAAAGGGACAACUUUUUGAACUCUCCAGCAACCAAAGCCCCGAAGUAACAACCAAAAUUUGAUUUUCUCCCAAAGUUCCUCCACUCCACACCUUCACUUUGCUCAAAUAUCCGCCUUCCAUCUGAAUUACUACUAACACCAUGCACUGCAGGAGACCAUUUCUUUCUUACCCUUACCUUUGUUUCUCAGGGAGCAAAGAAACAGAACUCCGACCUAAUUUACAUUGUCAACCCCAUACAAUCUCCACCACAUAGUUGUAAACAUAUGAUCCACACUCCUUUCGUCCUCUUUGUUGCACAAAAUGCAUCAGUGAGGUGAAACACACACAAAAGGCAAUUUCCUGGAUCAUAUCACAUGUAUCCUCCAGUGAGCCAGUCCAAGCCAAAACUUUUACUUUUGGUGGAACUCUUGCUUUCAAAUCUGCCCAAAAGGUUGGAUGGAGUCCUGGAUUAGCAGCUUUGCUUUGAUUUGAGAAUCUAAUAUACGACUUACAUUAGAACUCCCUUCAAGUAUCAAUUUUCCAUUUCUUGCAUCAACGUUAUAUUAUAAUGCAAUAUACACACACACAUUCUGAUACCAGUAACAUUGCAGAGAUCUCCUCCAUCUAAAUUCCAUUCAGAUUUCUUAACCCGAAAUCCGAACCAUUGGCUCGUUGAAACUAAUUUCGUACAAUGCGUUUCCCAUCAAAUUCAAUGGUAUAUAUAUUUAGUAAGUACAUUUUAAUUUAUUUAUUUUGUACUCAUAGGCAAAAGCAAAAAAAAAAAAAAAAAACUUUGCGCGACGUAGGUACACAUGCGUUGCGCAAAAUAGCUUUGCGCGACGCAGGUGGACCUACGUCGCGCAAAGUUUUUUUUUUUUUUUUGGGGGUUCUUUUAUUGCCUUUUUCUUUUGUGGUAUCCACUUGUGUAAAUGUUUUAAAUUGAUGAUCAAAUUAGUUUAUUGUAUUCAUAUAGGAUUAAGGAAUGUAGCUAUAAAAAAUCAUCAAAAUCAGAGUUAAAACUACCGUUAAAUUGUGCUUUUUCAUUUAUAACCGUUGAAAAGUUUUGUCCCGUUACUUGAUCUCUGAAUGUUUGUUUUUUGCGAUUUUUGGCGGACGCAAUCUCGAAGCAUGUACAAAUAAGUUUGACGGUUGGAUCGUUAAAACUAGUUUCGUACAAUGCGUAUCCCAUUAAAACGAUAGAUUCCCUAACACUUCGAGUUUAUUUAUACUAUCAUUAAGUUUAACAUAACAUUUUGUGGUAUCCGUUUGUGUAAAUAUUUUAAAUUGAGGAUCGAAUCGGUUCGUUGUAUUCAUAUAGGCUCAAGGAGUGUAGCUCUAAAAAGUCAUCAAAAUCGGAGUUAAAACUACCGUUAAAUCAUGCUUUUUUGUUUAUAACCGUCGAAAAGGUUUGUCCCGUUACUUGAUAUCUGAAUGUUUUUUUUUCUCAAUUUUUGGCGUAUGCGAUCUCGGAAUAUAUACAAACAAGUUUGAUGGUUGGAUCGUUGAAAUUAGUUUCGUACAAUGCGUAUUUCAUCAAAACGAUAGAUUCCCUAACACUUGGAGUUUAUUUAUACUAUCAUUAAGUUUAACAUAACAUUUUGUGGUAUCCGCUUGUGUAAAUAUUUUAAAUUGAGGAUCGAAUCGGUUCGUUGUAUUCAUAUAGGCUCAAGGAAUGUAGCUCUAAAAAAUCAUCAAAAUCGGAGUUAAAACUACCGUUAAAUCGUGCUUUUUUGUUUAUAACCGUCGAAAAGGUUUGUCCCGUUACUUAAUAUCUUAUCUGAAUGUUUGUUUUUCUCAAUUUUUGGCGUAUGCAAUAUCGGAAUAUAUACAAACAAGUUUGACGGUUGGAUCGUUGAAAUUAGUUUCGUACAAUGCGUAUCUCAUUAAAACGAUAGAUUCCCUAACACUUAGAGUUUAUUUAUACUAUCAUUAAGUUUACACAUAACAUUUUGUGGUAUCCGCUUGUGUAAAUAUUUUAAAUUGAGGAUCGAAUCGGUUCGUUGUAUUCAUAUAGGCUCAAGGAGUGUAGCUCUAAAAAAUCAUCAAAAUCGGAGUUAAAAUAACCGUUAAAUCGUGUUUUUCGUUUAUAACCGUCGAAAGGUUUUGUCUCGUUACUUGAUCUCUGGAUGUUUUUUUUUUCCAGGUUUUGGCGUAUACGAUCUUGGAAUAUAUACAAACAAAUUUGAUGGUUGAAUCGUUGAAAUUAGUUUCGUAGAAUGCGUAUUUCAUCAAAACGAUAUAUUUCCUAACACUUGGAGUUUAUUUAUACUAUCAUUAAGUUUAACAUAACAUUUUGUGGUAUCCGCUUGUGUAAAUAUUUUAAAUUGACGAUCGAAUUGGUUCGUUGUAUUCAUAUAGGCUAAAGGAGUAUAGUUGGAAAAACUCAACAAAUUGGAGUUAAAAUAACCGUUAAAUCGUGAUUUUUCGUUUAUAACCGUCAAAAGGUUUUGUCAUGUUACUUGAUAUUUGGAUGUUUUUUUUUUCCAAUUUUUGGCGUAUGCGAUAUCGGAAUAUAUACAAACAAUUUUGACGGUUGGAUUGUUGAAAUUAGUUUCGUACAAUGCGUAUUCCAUCAAGUUCAAAGGUAUAUAUAUUUAUUAAGUAAAUUUUCGGUAAAAUUUAUAUUUGAAAAAAAAAAAAAAAAAUCUUGCGCGACGUCGAAAUGUAUACCUGCGUCGAGCUAUUUGUCAUUAUUUUGGCGGGGCAAUUAUGAAAAAUAGGCGCUUUUUUUUUAAAAAAAAUUCCCAAAUUUUCCAAACCAAAAGCCUUCCACUCUCUCAUCUCUCUCACUCGAUCUCUCUUCCCAAACCAAAAGCCUUUCGGUCUCUCAUCUCUCUCACUCCAGCCGACUAUCCUCCUCAACCAAUUCCACCCGAGUACCAGAAUCACUCUCAGACUCUCAGUCCCUCGACUCCCUUCCCUCGACUCUCCAACUCUGAAUCGUCCUCCUCCUCGUAGUGCUCACCAGCCAUCACCCCAUCACCCCCGCCGUCGAUUCUCUCCUCUUCGACAACACCCCCGCUGUCAUCCAUCUAAAAUUUAGGUAAUUUUGAUUUAAGGUUUUGUUAUUAAUGUGAAUUUCUGGUGUAGGGAUUUUAGGGUUUUUUAAAUUAGAAUUUGUAGAUUGAUGAUUGUUCUGUUGCCACCAUUUAGGGUUUUCCUAAAAUUUGAAUUGCAUUUGUAGAUUGAUGAUUGAUGGCUGGUGUUAUGUAUGUUUAUAGAUGAUUGGUUGAAAUUUCAUGCGUUCAUUUGAGUUAUAAGUUGUAUGAAUCUAAGAAAUAUUUAAGGUCAAAACUAAUGAACCUGACUUAGUAGCCGUAAAUCAUAGUUAACUACAUCCUAUGACUUUUGAACCGAGUUGAGAUUUCCAUAACCAAAGGGUGGGUUUGGUAUUCCGUUUUUCUUUGGCUUCGGUUCGAUUUUUUUGGGUUUUCGAUUUUUCAAACCUAUUCCUACUACCUUAAUCCACACUUUACACUGAUCUUUUGUCUUCAUGGUAUAUACGGGAUUAUGGAUUAAGGACAAAGUCAUAAAUCCUUGUGUGUCUGUCCUGUGUAUUUUAUGUCAUUGAACUCAGUUAUGUUUCCAUUUUGCUGAUCAAGUAUUACUUUUUGGCUUUAUUCUCGCAGAAUCUCAUUGCAACUGGAGGGGUUGAUACAAAUGCUGUAAUCUUCAUUACUAUUUUAUCUUCUCUAUUUACUGGAGUUGUCAUUAGCUUUGUUUGUCAUUCAUUAUUAACUUGGCCACCGCUAAACUCUGCCUACCUCACAGUUACAAGUUUAACCUUGGGACUUUUUAUGUACAUCUAUGUGGAUCUACACGGAUUUAAAUUUUAUAUUCUAAAGUUACUUUUUAUGCAACUGGGGGUGGUGAUCAACCUCCCUGACCCAAACACAAAAAGGAGAUCAGGAAAAAAAGAGGAUAAAUUGGAGUCAAUAAAGAACUUUACAUGCAUGCAAUUUAGAUGUUAUUGCAUAGGUUGUAAGGGUGUAACCAAUCAGAUAUUCAACCUAGUGUACUCCAUCUUUUGAUGUUGUAUCAUCAUUUUUCCCCUUUAAUGUUGCAGACAGUUCGCAUAUGGCAAGGCUCUGAUGAUGGGAACUAUAACUGUAGGCACAUUGUGAAGGACCAUACUGCUGAGGUAAAUGGUUUGGACUUGAGUUCUCCAAAAUUUGUUCAAAGUUAAAGCCCUUUUAGGCGGACAAAAUAUGUAAUGAGCAGCAAAUCCAAAAAAGGACCGCAGUGAAUCUUCCUCUUUUUGUACAUUUUUGCUCACAAAAUACACAUACUGCCACGGUUUAACUAAUUUGAUCCUUCCUCUUCGUGAAACGGGUGCCUCUUCUUCCAGAUUGUCUACAGGAGAGGUCAAUUCCUUGAAGGAGGAAGUGACAACCCUAAGAGGUCAGGUUGCGGCCCAGGGCGACCAUAUUAGGGCCCAGGACGAGAGGAUGAAUAUGAUUGUUCAGGCCUUAGCGAUGUCCGGCCUCCAAAUCCCGACGAUGCCAGCACCUAAUGUUGCUCCACCUUCGACUUCCCAGCCAUUUUGCCCCGACGAUACCGAGUAGCAUGAUGUAUUAAACUUAGAAGACUUGUAGUUUUUUAUUUUUUUGUUCGGACAAACAUACAUUUUCAUAUAUUCUAUAAUUAUUUACUUUUUCUUGGUUUAUUAAUUAAUUUUUAGAAUGUAAUUAUGAUAUUUAUUAAAAAUUAAAAAAAAAAUAUAAAUGACAAAAAAAAAAUUAAAUAAAUAAAACUUUGCGCGACGUAGGUAGGCAUUACGUCGCGCAAAGUAGCUUUGCACGACGUAGAUCCCUGCGUCGCGCAAAGAUACUUUGCGCGACGCAGUGCCUACCUACGUCGCGCAAACCCUUCCUUCACUGCCUUCGCGCGACGGUUCUUGCGCGACGAAGGUUCGUUUGGCUAAUUUUUGGGCGACGUAUUUUUGACUUUGCGCGACGACGGUCCUACGUCGCGCAAAGUAUUUUUUGUACUAGUGUGGUAAUAGAUCUAACCCCCCCUAGAAACUAAUUAAACCAACGUGUGCGACUAAUGCGGAAGUACGAACAUAAUAAAUAUUUCUUCUUUCAACAAAAUAUCCACAAUAAAAAAAUUUAAAGAACAAUACAAGUAAUUACUUCAAGCUAGUGAACCAUGCACACUAAAGAUUCUCUCAAGCGCAUAAUAAAAGAGAAAUUGGCAAUAAAAUUGAAUCCAUGAAUAAAAUGCUAUUAGGAUUGGCAUGGAAAAAAAUUUGGAAUAUGUCACUUCCAAUACUAAGAUUCUAGGAAGCAACAAAACCCAUCAAGUACCAGAGAAAAGGAGGAUCAAACCUUCGCUACAAAGUGAUAGAAACAUGCCAUUAAGAACAGUGUGCAUGGAUAGAAAUAUUACAAAAAAGCAAGAACAAACCUACUCAAAUACCACGGAGAUGAAUAGAUCAAAAGGUAGUACCCAGUGCACAAGGCUCCCGCUUUACGCAGGGUCUGGGAGAGGUGAAUGUCGGCUAGCCUUACCCCCAUUUAUGAAGAGGCUGCUCCCAAACGGAGAUGAAUAGAUAUAGGAAACAAAUUAAAACAAAGAUAUCUGAAAGGGCUACAUGCAUGUUAACAUAUAUAACAGAAAAAACCCGAACUUAUAUUUAGAGUUACACACAAGUCCAAAUUGUAAUAUAAGAAUAGUCAUUUCAAGACAAAAAGAAACACAAUAUUUUAACUAGUGCAUAAAUUACUCUAGAAAAUUUUGACAAACAAGGUAAAAAAGCUCAACCUUUGGGAAUUCAAUCAAAAGGAUUUUCCAAAGGCAUAUUGAAGCCAUUUAUUUUGGACCAGAGAUAAUUAAGCCAUUAGUUAUGCCCAAACAUAAGAUGUGGGUUAGGCUAAUUGGCUAGGACAACGUAUCCGCCCCAUUGUACCUAAGUAUGAAUCCCCCAUUGCACCUAAGUAUGAAUCCCCGUCCUAGUAGAUUAAAGUAGUUUAGAAUAUCACUUUGCCAAAUAUUAUGUAACAAAGCCAAAAUGUUAGGUCAUCUCCAAUGCACCGGAAAAUUUAGACUCAAAUAAUGUUAUAUUUGAGUCUAAAAAUGAGAGGCAAGGACUCGCCAAUGCACAUGAGACUUGGGCCAUUCCAAUGCACUAGAAAAUUUUGACUCGAAUCUCAUAUUUGAGUCUAGAUAUGAAUCAAACAUCUCCAAUUCACUAGAUACUUAGGACUUAUAUAUAAGUUUUCAGCUAAUAUGUGACUCUAAUUUGGAGUCUAAGGUGGAUCCCAUGCCAACAAUAAAAAAAUGCUUUUCAACCAAGGAAAAUAAGAUGAGUUUUGACCCCAACCAUCUCUAAUACACAUACCAAAAUUGUUAAAAAUCACAUUGAGAGUUUUGACUUUAUGUUUUCUCUUCUAAGGCACACACCUUAAUUGUUAAAACUGAAAUGUGGGUUUGACUCCAAUGUUUUCUAUUCCAAGGCAUUGACCCAAUCUUAACAAUGUGCAUUGGAAGAGAAAACCAAACACUCAAACCCACCACUAUUGUUGGACUCAAAUAUAAAAAUAUAAGUUAGGAAUACAAAUCUUCCAUCAUAGAUGACCUACCAUUUGUUCAAAAUAUUUAUUAAAUUGUUCUUUGGUGCUCAAACCUAGAAUUGGCCUUAAUAUGAACCUCGUCCAGACCUUCAAUCUUAUGUUACAGAAACUUUCUGAAUAAAUUAAUCAAUAACCAUAUUUUUUUCAAUAACAACCUGCUCUGCACAAUUAAUCUGGUAUGUAUAUAGACUUCAGACUUGCAAGCUAAGUUUCUAACCGAUUAUUAACACCCACCACCACAACAACUAAUCUUCUAAUCUGAAGUGUCAAACAUCUAAUUAAUAAGGAACCCUUGAGCUACUACAAUUUACUUAUACACUCCAAUUUGGGUAUCCUAUCAGGAAUUGGGAUAGGGCAACUGUAAUCAUUACUCUGAUAAAAACUUAAACCUCACAUGGAAAACGGAUUAGAUAUGUAAUGCUCUUGAAACCAGUCUUGAAAAGAGGGCAUCCAGUGUGAUGCUUGCUAUUUGUAAUUUAUUCUUAAAUCCAUUGUCCAUGACUCAAGUUCAUUAUCAUCAACUAGUAGUUGACCUAACCCAUUACAUGAACUAAACCAACAUAUUUAACUAACCCGAAAGCAUGAAGAUAACGAGUAUUUCUUCCCAAAAACCAAAUAUCCAGAUUAAAAAUUUGAACAUAUGUAAAAACAGUACGAAACAGAAAAGAAAUCGAUAAACAGAAGUACAAUCAAGGAGAUUACGAUUGAUACGUACCUUGAUGAUUAAACCUGCGGCAAAUUAAUGGAAGCAGAUCUGCUAUACCACUCACUGACGCCAAAACAUCAACAAGUACUACACUUGUACUUCCUACUAAAAAAAAAAAAAAGGUCGUACCCAGUGCACAAGGCUCCCGCUUUACGCAGGGUCUGGGAGAGGUGAAUGUCGGCUAGCCUUACCCCCAUUGUCCAAAACAUCAACAAGUACUACACUUGUACUUCCUACUAAAUAUAAUUAAUUAAAAGGGAAUGAUUAGUAAAUUAAUCAUAAGAAAAGAACGAUAUAAAACAAAUUUAAUUAUAUAUGCUUCCAUAACAGAACACCUUUCUUUUUUUUUUUUUUCUGAAAAGGAAUUUUGAUUUAAGAAUCUCACUUAUGACAAAAACAAAAGAAAGCUGAAAUCUGGCCAGAUAACAAAGAGUAACAUGUGUCCAUAUUUAGCAGAGCUCUGACCUUAGGGUUUAUAUUUCCUUUUAUCGGCCGAUUUGGGGAGAAGAGCUCAAUGUAUACUUAUAUGAUAAUUUACAGUUUUUAUAGGGAGCUGAUUUUCACACACCUUUUAUAGCUUUUCCUACACCCCUCUUUGUUCCAGGCCAUCGGAUUGAAUAAAUCAGACAAAAACAAUGGACAUGAUUAGCCAAGGGUGUGUAGGAAGCUAUAAAAGGUGUGUGUUUAUCAUUUCCCUUUUUAUAUGACAUGCACAGAGAAAUAAGCUUGCAUGAAGAAGCAGAAGAAGAAGAAGAAGAGGAGGAGGAGGAGGAGGAUGAAGAGGAUUUUCAUAGAAAAUAAAUAAUAGAAAAAUUGCAGGAAUUUCCAUGAAAAUAGAAGAGGGAUUCGGAGGGUUCUCAUAAAAUAAUUUAGUAUAAAAAUGGAUAACUGCGGGAAUUUCCAUGAAAAAUUGAACAGUAAGAUAACAAAAAGAAGGCGUACCUUGAAGAAACAAAAGAACCCCAAACCGUCCUCUUCAAACUAUUUGAAGAUCUAGCACGGGACAAUCAAAAGGCACGCUUUCAAACGUAUUCCAGAGACCAGACCGUCAACCAGCAUUAAAUUUAUAGGUAAUACUAAAAUUUUAAAUUAAAUUUAAAUGAUGUAUCAGUAAUAAUAAAUAAAAACAUUAAUGAACAUUUAAUUAAUUAUUUGAUUUAUAAACUUUUGUUUAAAAAUUUAUCUUCUUAUAAAUACCAUAGCCAUUUUUUACAAUUUUAAAUUCAAUAAAAAUUAAUAAAAUAGGAAAAUAAAUACAUUAGAAUAAC
This 11646-nucleotide long non-coding RNA is filed under the name Malus domestica (apple). RNAcentral describes it as "long non-coding RNA (MDOM_LNC014588)". Lineage: Eukaryota; Viridiplantae; Streptophyta; Magnoliopsida; Rosales; Rosaceae. The record is from RNAcentral.